GAUGAACGCUGGCGGCGUGCCUAAUACAUGCAAGUCGAGCGAACGGACGAGAAGCUUGCUUCUCUGAUGUUAACGGCGGAAGGGUGAGUAAAACGUGGAGAACCUAACUAUAAGACUGGGAUAACUUAGGGAAACCGGAGCUAGUACCGGAUAAUAUUUUGAACCGCAUGGUUCAAAAGUGAAAGACGGUCUUGCUGUCACUGAUACAUGGAACCGCGCUGCAUUAGCUAGUUGGUAAGGUAACGGCUUACCAAGGCAACGAUGGAUAGCCGACCUGAGAGGGUGAACGGCCACACUGGAACUGAGAGACGGUCCAGACUCCUACGGGAGGCAGCAGUAGCGAAUCGUGCGCGAUGGGCGGAAGCCUGACGGAGCGACGCCGCGUGAGUGAUGAAGGUCUUCGGAUCGUAAAACUCUGUUAUGAGUGAAGAACAUAUGUGUAAGUAGCUGUGCUCAUCUUGACGGUACCUAAUCAGAAAGCCACGGCUAACUACGUG
Molecule: ribosomal RNA, 497 nt
Filed under: uncultured bacterium
Lineage: Bacteria
Description: partial 16S ribosomal RNA
Rfam family: Bacterial small subunit ribosomal RNA
Source: RNAcentral